Molecule: ribosomal RNA, 435 nt
Filed under: uncultured bacterium
Lineage: Bacteria
Description: bacterial SSU rRNA
Rfam family: Bacterial small subunit ribosomal RNA
Source: RNAcentral
UCGAGGAUCUUCGGCAAUGGGCGCAAGCCUGACCGAGCGACGCCGCGUGUGCGAUGAAGGCCUUCGGGUUGUAAAGCACUGUCGAGGGGGAGGAAGCUCCGCAAGGAGUUGACUAAUCCCUGGAGGAAGCACGGGCUAAGUUCGUGCCAGCAGCCGCGGUAAGACGAACCGUGCGAACGUUGUUCGGAUUCACUGGGCUUAAAGGGCGCGUAGGCGGGCUCAAAAGUCCGAGGUGAAAUACUCUCGCUUAACGAGAGAACUGCCCCGGAUACUGUGAGUCUCGAGGAAGGUAGGGGUCUGUGGAACUUCCGGUGGAGCGGUGAAAUGCGUAGAUAUCGGAAGGAACGCCGGUGGCGAAAGCGACGGACUGGACCUUUUCUGACGCUGAGGCGCGAAAGCCAGGGGAGCAAACAGGAUUAGAUACCCCCGUAGUCC